Molecule: long non-coding RNA, 1227 nt
Organism: Entelurus aequoreus (snake pipefish)
Lineage: Eukaryota; Metazoa; Chordata; Actinopteri; Syngnathiformes; Syngnathidae
Exons: 3
Source: RefSeq, a predicted model, not a curated record
CUCAGUAGUGUGCAGACCCUUCUACCUACCGAUAGAGGUCAUUGUUGUCAUUUUAACAACUGUUUAUAUACCACCCCAUGCUAACGUUAGCGUAGCACUCUCCCUACUACAUGAUGCCAUCAUUAAGCAGAUGCAGACACAUCCAGAAGAACCCUUUACUUAAGCCUGCUUGAAGAAUAUGCUCCUCAGAUUUGUGCAAUAUGUACAUUCUGACCUCCAAGAGCAAAUCCAUCAUUUCUUGUGUCGUACUAACUGGUAAUAUUUUUUGGUGCACAAUAUUAUCCAUAUCUAAUAGCCUCUACUCACGGGCAGGUGUAUGCUUUGUGCACUCCCUUGUGUUUGAGGCGGUUGUGUCGGCAAAGACUGUGAGUGGAACUGAAGGACUUGUCGCACUGUCGGCAUGGGUGCUUCUUCAAUAUCUAAUGUAGAAGAGGAAGAGUGGGUUUGGCGCUGAGCGGGAGGUUGAUUCCUAAGUUUGGUGGACCCUCAAUAGUCUUCAGAGUUCCAUGAAUGCCCUGGAUGCUGUGUGUACGCAUGGGAGUGUGUUGCUGGUGCAGACUUGAAGGCCAUGGGACAAAGCGGACAUUUAUAGAAGACCUCACAGUGUGUAGUCUGGAUGUGCGACUUCAAAGUCGCAACAUCAGAGAAGAUCACACUACAGUGAAUACAUCUAGCAGUUUGGAAACAGGACAAAGGGGGAAAUAUCAGCUUGUGAUAGCUACUACCGUAAGAUUAGAUUUACCUUGAAACAGUCUUCUAUUGUGACUGACCGGUAGCCGACUCUACGUGCGUAGUGCAGGCAGUUCUUGGUGACGUGGGACUGGAAGUGGACAGAUCGACAGCUUGCGCCACACUCUGGGCAGAUGUAAGGAGACUUGUGCUGAUGGAUUCGUUGAUGCGACAGAAAACUGCACUGAUUUGGAAGAAGCAUUUGGCAGAUAUUGCAGGUUUUCUAAUGAAACAGAGAACAUAGAAAUGUUAAUUGUAUUGUGUGUUAAAUAUAGUAACAGUUCCUCCAUGAUUUCGCUGUCUUUUUUUAUUGUUCCAGCAUAAAAUGCCUGAUUUCAAAGCAGCAUUUUUAAAAAGUUGCUGCAAAAGUUGCAACGUUUUAACGCUUUUUUCCAUUAACAUUACAUAUCCUUGUGAUUUUAUGAAUUUGUAGUUAGCGUUUUAAGUGUUUUUGUAACUCUAACCCUAAAAGCACAAGAUUUUUGUUGCAUGAAAAAA